CCUUAGCCUGCGAUGAAGACGAUCCCCAAAGAAAAAUGGUUAGAAAACUAUUAUGGCCCCCUCUAUGUGAAAAGUCUGUCAGAAAUGUCUUCGCUUCCUUAAAAAGAAACAAGCUGCUCCCAGCAGAUCAGAAUGGCUUCACCCGCUUCCCUGCAGUCAGGAAAUUGAUUUUCUGUUCUCUCUUGACUCCCUCUGGACAGUGGAACUCAGUUAUCAAGCUUCACUUCCUGUUCUCCCGGUAACCCUAUUUGGUGAAAUUAGAAUUAGGAGUUUAAUUCAAUGUAGCGCAAAGCCCAAUGAGAUUAGCUUUAUGGUUUCAAGACCUCCACUAGGAAACAGAAUCCUGCGUUCUCUAUUCCUUUUCCAAAAAUUGACCGACAAUCAAAACGGGGCAGGUUUUCCUGCAUAUUGCCCACCUGUUAUCUGGAAACCCAGAUCGAGUGCCUGCUCUGUGGUCAUGCACUGGACAAGAAAAUUUCCCUUUCUGGCUAGAGAGACUCAAGGAAGAUUAGCCCUGAGCUAACUACUGCCAACCCUCCUAUUUUUGAUGAGGAAGCCUGGCCCUGAGCUAACAUCGUGCCCAUCUUCCUCUACUUUAUACAUGGGACGCCUACCACAGCAUGGCUUUUGCCAAGCGGUGCCAUGUCUGCACCGGGAUCUGAACUGGCGAACCCCCGGCCGCCGAGAAGCAGAACAUGUGAACUUAACUGCUGUGCCACCAGGCCGGCCCCAAAUGUGUGCUGUUUGAAGUCAGUAAGUUUGCAGUGAUCUGUUACAGCAGUGCUAGGAAACUAAUACAGCAGGAGAGAAGGCAGCUCAGAGGACUGAUGGGGAGGCUGGAGAAUCUGGCCCAGGUGGGCAGGCACAGGUGAGACCCUGCCCCAGGAAUGGCCUGCUCUGGACACCACUGCCUCUACUGGACUCUUGCCACUGCCUUUGUGGGAAUGUGCUGCUGCUGCCCAAUCCUGUCUCAUCUCACACUAUCAUCUCACCCCCUGGGAUUCAGACAGCAGUAUUGCAGUGACCUCACCUGGGUCACGUGCCCAUUGCCAUCUGCUGGGGCUGAGACAUGGAUUAUCUGACCUUCCUCAGCUUCCGGUUUCCAAGGCAGAGAAUCAACUGGAGAUGAUUGAAGACUUGGACCUGAACCCCGUCAUGUGCCAGAGAGAACAGAGCUGUGAGAAUGACCUGAUGGUUGGGCCUGAAGUCCUCAGGGCCAGCAGUUUGGAAUGAAAGAUAGACAUGAUGCGGGGGAGAAAAGCACAAACUAGAACCCACGAAGACAAACUUGGACCCUGGAGGAGCAAGUGGAGUUCGCGUUUGUCUUCAAUGAUGCAUGUGGCCUGCAGGAUGAGUUGGUAGCCCACAGAGCUGCACACACAGCUGGUCCAGGAUUCGGAGAAGCAGGAGGAGAUUGGGGUGGGGGCUGGAGAAGGGAGGGAGUGGACUCAGCUGCUGCCCCCCACCAAUGAGGUUCCUGUUUGGAAUAAGAAGGACAGCACUUGCAAAGGGCCUGGUCGCAUGUUUGGCCCACACGAGGAGCUCACUAAAGCCAAGUUCUGACAUUCACCACUUUUGCUUCCAUCACCUCUUCUGGGAGCCCUGAUGGGGGAACCCAAUCAAGUCAACAGCUUGAUGGGAUCACCAGGAAGAAGACUCAAGACUCUACGUCAUUUGCCCACCUCCCACAUAGACCUGAUCCCCACAUAGAGGAGGGACAAGGCGCUGGCUCAGAGCUGAGGGGAGGAGGAGGUAACUGGAUGUUACCUGUGUGAAGUGUUCUACGUACAGGUGAUAUUUCAUCCUACUCCUUUGGAAAGGUGUCCUGUAAGCAGAAGGGCUGUCAGUGACCUGCUCUGCUGGUGCCUGGGCCUUUCCAGACCCACCUUGAGUUUCCCUGGAAAUUCGGCUGAGCACUCCCACCUCCCAUGAUGGUCAGCUUGGAGCUCCCUUUAAAGGCUCUGGAUUGAACACAGCCACCUGAAAGGGACCAUGGACAGCCAGCCAAUCACCUGAGAGCUGCUUCCCAGGCUGCCUGGGAAACAUUUCAUUUUCUAUCUGUAGAAUCACAGAUGUUGACUUUUGAUCUCUUCCUCUCUCCUUCUGGGCCUCAAAUCAGUGAUGACAGCUAUUUCAUUUAUUUUUUAUUUUUUUUCUUUUCCCUUUAAAGAGAAAAAGUCAGGAGGGCUCAGACAGGUUGUUAAAAUAUUGGAAGAGUUACAUAUUGGCUACUUGGGUGAGAAAGAAAAGCUAUACCUCUCUCCAUGUGAAGCCAGGGGCAAUCAUCAGAAGGAGGCUGAGUGAGGCAACAUUGAAACAGUGUUUCUUAACCUUUCCCGCGUUUGUAAAUCAUCUAGGGAUCUUGUUACAAGGCACAUUCAAACUCAGAGGGUCUAGGGAGCAACCAGAUGAGAUCCAGCCUGCUAGUUCAGGACCAUGCUUAGAGAAGCAGAUGUUGAAGUUCUUCCUGUCUCUGCUUUGCUCCAGUCCUGAAGUGCAGUGAUUGAUAAAUUCUCUCUGCCAUCUUCAAGCAGCUGGGUUUGUGCAGACAAGAUGCUGGCCAAGCAAACUUCUCUUAGAAGACACUUUAAUAUAAUUAGAACUUACACUUAGAUUUUUAUCACUCCUGCUCUGCUUAAAC
Equus asinus (donkey) is the source of this 2641-nucleotide long non-coding RNA. The record is from Ensembl. NCBI's taxonomy places the organism in Eukaryota, Metazoa, Chordata, Mammalia, Perissodactyla, Equidae.